AACGGGUGAGUAACACGUGGGCAAUCUGCCCUUCACUCUGGGACAAGCCCUGGAAACGGGGUCUAAUACCGGAUAACACUCCUGCCUGCAUGGGCGGGGGUUAAAAGCUCCGGCGGUGAAGGAUGAGCCCGCGGCCUAUCAGCUUGUUGGUGGGGUAAUGGCCUACCAAGGCGACGACGGGUAGCCGGCCUGAGAGGGCGACCGGCCACACUGGGACUGAGACACGGCCCAGACUCCUACGGGAGGCAGCAGUGGGGAAUAUUGCACAAUGGGCGAAAGCCUGAUGCAGCGACGCCGCGUGAGGGAUGACGGCCUUCGGGUUGUAAACCUCUUUCAGCAGGGAAGAAGCGAGAGUGACGGUACCUGCAGAAGAAGCGCCGG
Molecule: ribosomal RNA, 381 nt
Filed under: grassland soil bacterium TSA-4
Lineage: Bacteria
Description: bacterial SSU rRNA
Rfam family: Bacterial small subunit ribosomal RNA
Source: RNAcentral